RNAcentral lists this ribosomal RNA (428 nucleotides) under uncultured prokaryote. RNAcentral describes it as "bacterial SSU rRNA". It matches the Rfam family "Bacterial small subunit ribosomal RNA", at positions 355 to 774 of the family's 1533-position model. The record is from RNAcentral.
CUAAGAAUCUUCCGCAAUGGGCGAAAGCCUGACGGAGCAACGCCGCGUGAAUGAAGAAGGCCUUCGGGUCGUAAAGUUCUGUUGAAAGGGAAGAAGUCUUUCUGUGUGAAUAAUGCGGAAAGGUGACGGUACCUUUUGAGGAAGCUCCGGCUAACUACGUGCCAGCAGCCGCGGUAAUACGUAGGGAGCAAGCGUUGUCCGGAAUUACUGGGCGUAAAGGGCGCGUAGGCGGGAUAUUAAGUUAGGUGUGAAAACUCCGGGCUCAACUUGGAGACUGCACAUAAAACUGAUAUUCUUGAGGACAGGAGAGGAAAGUGGAAUUCCUAGUGUAGCGGUGAAAUGCGUAGAUAUUAGGAGGAACACCAGUGGUGAAGGCGGCUGUCUGGACUGUAACUAACGCUGAGUCGCGAAAGCGUGGGGAGUGAACG